AACAAGGCGUACCUGCGGACCUGCGGAGGGAUCAUUACAGAGUUGCAAAACUCCCUAAACCAUUGUGAACGUUACCUAAACCGUUGCUUCGGCGGGCGGCCCGGGUCCUUCCCGGCGCCCCUCGGCCCUCGCGGGCGCCCGCCGGAGGUAAACCAAACUAUUGCAUUGUAUGGCCUCUCUGAGUCUUCUGUACUGAAUAAGUCAAAACUUUCAACAACGGAUCUCAGAUCGGAAGAGCAC
RNAcentral lists this unclassified non-coding RNA (240 nucleotides) under soil metagenome. RNAcentral's name for it is "partial contains 5.8S ribosomal RNA, internal transcribed spacer 2, and large subunit ribosomal RNA". The record is from RNAcentral.